AUUGAACGCUGGCGGCAGGCCUAACACAUGCAAGUCGAACGGUAACAGGAAGCAGCUUGCUGCUUUGCUGACGAGUGGCGGACGGGUGGGUAAUGUCUGGGAAACUGCCUGAUGGAGGGGGAUAAAUACUGGAAACGGUAGCUAAUACCGCAUAACGUCGCAAGACCAAAGAGGGGGACCUUCGGGCCUCUUGCCAUCGGAUGUGCCCAGAUGGGAUUAGCGAGUAGGUGGGGUAACGGCUCACCUAUGCGACGAUCCUAAGCUGGUCUGAGAGGAUGACCCGCCACACUGGAACUGAGACACGGUCCAGACUCCGACAGGAGGAAGCAGUGGGGAAUAUUGCACAAUGGGCGCAAGCCUGAUGCAGCAAUGCCGCGUGUAUGAAGAAGGACUUCGGGUUCUAAAGUACUUUCAGCGGGGAGGAAGGGAGUAAAGUUAAUACCUUUGCUCAUUGACGUUACCCGCAGAAGAAGCACCGGCUAACUCCGUG
This 490-nucleotide ribosomal RNA is filed under the name uncultured bacterium. RNAcentral describes it as "partial 16S ribosomal RNA". It matches the Rfam family "Bacterial small subunit ribosomal RNA", at positions 30 to 507 of the family's 1533-position model. The record is from RNAcentral.